Long non-coding RNA from Girardinichthys multiradiatus, 340 nucleotides. RefSeq lists it as uncharacterized. The record is from RefSeq and is a predicted model, not a curated record. NCBI's taxonomy places the organism in Eukaryota, Metazoa, Chordata, Actinopteri, Cyprinodontiformes, Goodeidae. The transcript is spliced from 3 exons.
CAUUAGGCUCCGCCUCCAUCUCAGGUGAAGUUCUGACUCAUUCCAUGAAGCAGCUCACCUGUAUCUCAGUCCAAGUCCACACAUCAAGUGUCUUCAACACUUUCUGAAGUUCUAACAAACUGUAGAACAGACUGGUUUUGCUCCUCUUCCUCCUCACGCCUCCAGAUCAGGUGAAACUGUUAGAGGUUGUUGUUCAUAGAGGUUGAGCAUCUUCAGCCUUUUGGACACUUUAACCAAUCUGCUCCGCCUCCAUCUCAGGUGAAGUUCUGACUCAUUCCAUGAAGCAGCUCACCUGUAUCUCAGUCCAAGUCCACACAUCAAGUGUCUUCAACACUUUCUG